Molecule: ribosomal RNA, 469 nt
Filed under: uncultured beta proteobacterium
Lineage: Bacteria; Pseudomonadati; Pseudomonadota; Betaproteobacteria
Description: bacterial SSU rRNA
Rfam family: Bacterial small subunit ribosomal RNA
Source: RNAcentral
UUUCCUACGGGCGGCAGCAGUGGGGAAUUUUGGACAAUGGGGGCAACCCUGAUCCAGCCAUGCCGCGUGAGUGAAGAAGGCCUUCGGGUUGUAAAGCUCUUUCGGACGGAACGAAAUGGGCGGGACUAAUACUCCUGUCCGAUGACGGUACCGUAAGAAGAAGCACCGGCUAACUACGUGCCAGCAGCCGCGGUAAUACGUAGGGUGCGAGCGUUAAUCGGAAUUACUGGGCGUAAAGCGUGCGCAGGCGGUUUCGUAAGCUGGAGGUGAAAUCCCCGGGCUUAACCUGGGAAUGGCCUUCAGGACUGCGAGGCUAGAGUGCGGCAGAGGGAGGUGGAAUUCCACGUGUAGCAGUGAAAUGCGUAGAGAUGUGGAGGAACACCGAUGGCGAAGGCAGCCUCCUGGGCCAGCACUGACGCUCAUGCACGAAAGCGUGGGGAGCAAACAGGAUUAGAUACCCCAGUAGUCA